This 846-nucleotide long non-coding RNA is filed under the name Arabidopsis thaliana (thale cress). Its description in RNAcentral is "long non-coding RNA (ATHA_LNC000711)". Lineage: Eukaryota; Viridiplantae; Streptophyta; Magnoliopsida; Brassicales; Brassicaceae. The record is from RNAcentral.
GACAAACAUAUUCAUCCAUCGUCUUGCUGCAAAUAUCAAUUUCACCCUCUCACAUUGUUUAGUUAAAUAAGCAAACAGGUAAAAAUGGUAGAGCCUUUGGUACUAUUCAAUUCUUAAUUACUUUACCUGAGUUCCUCUGAAAUGUUUGGGAUCUGACAGAUAUUUGAAGUUGGUUUAUGUGAGAUGAAGAAACUGCUUUCCCAAUCUGCAUCUGAGGUUUUGCCUUCACUCAAAGCCUUGACCAUCUCUGACUGGUAAAACUUCUCUUUCAAAUGCUCCUCAUAGUGAGAGUUAAUCAUCUUCUUCACUUUCUCCAUCAACUCUUUAUCAAUUCCAUGAUUAUCAACCUGAAAAUUCACUAACUCUUUAAGGAUAUACAGUAGACAUAUCUUAGAAAACACUGCCUUGUGCAUAAAGAUGUUAUACAUACCAUGAAGAAUCCCCACUUAUCACAUGCAUGAUCAAGAAGUGACAUGGUCUUGCUUCUCUUCUCUCCAUCCAACUCUGCAAAAUCAAUAACUGGAAUCUCCAUCUCUCUCUCUUUGAUCAAAACCAUCUCUUUUUUAUUUACUUUUUCUCACACACAGAUUUGUUGAAUGCAAUCUAGAAAGAGUAUUUAUAGGCAUAAGUGAAAAUUAAAUCUCUGUUUCUCUUGUGUGUUAGGAGGCAUAGUUGCCUACUUGGAGGCAAAAACAAUAGUUUCUUUCAACACUAUUCUGUUAACUCAUUGAAUUUGAAGCAUCAUUACGUUUAAUGAAUAAAAAAUUGUAUAAGAAUCUGCUUUGGAAAUGUAAAAUGAACAAUAGGAUUGAAGAAAAGUCCAAGUUCAGUCCAUACAACCAUGUG